This 468-nucleotide ribosomal RNA is filed under the name uncultured bacterium. RNAcentral describes it as "partial 16S ribosomal RNA". It matches the Rfam family "Bacterial small subunit ribosomal RNA", at positions 28 to 507 of the family's 1533-position model. The record is from RNAcentral.
GACGAACGCUGGCGGCGUGCUUAACACAUGCAAGUCGAACGGAAAGGCCCCGCUUUUGUGGGGUGCUCGAGUGGCGAACGGGUGAGUAACACGUGAGUAACCUGCCCUUGACUUUGGGAUAACUUCAGGAAACUGGGGCUAAUACCGGAUAGGAGCUCCUGCUGCAUGGUGGGGGUUGGAAAGUUUCGGCGGUUGGGGAUGGACUCGCGGCUUAUCAGCUUGUUGGUGGGGUAGUGGCUUACCAAGGCUUUGACGGGUAGCCGGCCUGAGAGGGUGACCGGCCACAUUGGGACUGAGAUACGGCCCAGACUCCUACGGGAGGCAGCAGCGGGGAAUAUUGCACAAUGGGCGGAAGCCUGAUGCAGCAACGCCGCGUGCGGGAUGACGGCCUUCGGGUUGUAAACCGCUUUCGCCUGUGACGAAGCGUGAGUGACGGUAAUGGGUAAAGAAGCACCGGCUAACUACGUG